This 250-nucleotide ribosomal RNA is filed under the name uncultured bacterium. Its description in RNAcentral is "partial 16S ribosomal RNA". It matches the Rfam family "Bacterial small subunit ribosomal RNA", at positions 524 to 773 of the family's 1533-position model. The record is from RNAcentral.
UACGUAGGUGGCAAGCGUUAUCCGGAUUUAUUGGGUUUAAAGGGUCCGUAGGCGGACUUAUAAGUCAGUGGUGAAAGCCUGUCGCUUAACGAUAGAACUGCCAUUGAUACUGUAAGUCUUGAGUAUAUUUGAGGUAGCUGGAAUAAGUAGUGUAGCGGUGAAAUGCAUAGAUAUUACUUAGAACACCAAUUGCGAAGGCAGGUUACCAAGAUAUAACUGACGCUGAGGGACGAAAGCAUGGGAAGCGAAC